GGGAACUUAACUCAGUGGUAGAGUGCUCGCUUCGCAUGCGAGAAGCCGCGAGUUCAAUCCUCGCAGUUUCCA
RNAcentral lists this transfer RNA (72 nucleotides) under Strongyloides ratti. RNAcentral describes it as "tRNA SRAE_X000600025". It matches the Rfam family "tRNA". From Rfam's summary of the family: Transfer RNA (tRNA) molecules are approximately 80 nucleotides in length. Their secondary structure includes four short double-helical elements and three loops (D, anti-codon, and T loops). Lineage: Eukaryota; Metazoa; Nematoda; Chromadorea; Rhabditida; Strongyloididae. The record is from Rfam by way of RNAcentral.